RNAcentral lists this ribosomal RNA (271 nucleotides) under uncultured bacterium. RNAcentral's name for it is "partial 16S ribosomal RNA". It matches the Rfam family "Bacterial small subunit ribosomal RNA", at positions 28 to 303 of the family's 1533-position model. The record is from RNAcentral.
GAUUAACGCUGGCGGCGUGCCUAAUGCAUGCAAGUCGAAUGGGAUCCACUUCGGUGGACACCCAUGGCGGACGGGUGAGGAACACGUAGCUAACCUGCCCUGGUGCGGGGGAUAGCCUCCGGAAACGGAGUGUAAUACCGCAUGUGGUCGGUCAUCGGGAGAUGGGUGAUCAAAGACGUAAGUUCGUGCCAGGAGGGGCUGCGGCCGAUUAGCUAGUUGGUGGGGUAAUGGCUUACCAAGGCGAUGAUCGGUAGCUGGUCUGAGAGGACGG